RNAcentral lists this ribosomal RNA (1462 nucleotides) under metagenome. RNAcentral describes it as "bacterial SSU rRNA". It matches the Rfam family "Bacterial small subunit ribosomal RNA". The record is from RNAcentral.
AGAGUUUGUUCCUGGCUCAGGAUGAACGCUGGCGGCGUGCCUAAUACAUGCAAGUCGAACGGAGAGCGAUACUUCGGUAGAAGCUCCUAGUGGCGAACGGGUGAGUAACGCGUUGGUGACCUGCCCCGAAGAGGGGGAUAACAGCUCGAAAGGGCUGCUAAUACCCCAUGUGGUCUUGGAGGUUAGAUACUUCAGGACUAAAGGAGAAAUCCGCUUCGGGAGGGGCCUGCGUCCCAUCAGCUAGUUGGUAGGGUAAAAGCCUACCAAGGCGAAGACGGGUAGGGGACCUGAGAGGGUGACCCCCCACAAUGGAACUGAAACACGGUCCAUACACCUACGGGUGGCAGCAGUAGGGAAUAUUGCACAAUGGGCGAAAGCCUGAUGCAGCAACGCCGCGUGCGCGAUGAAGGCCUUCGGGUUGUAAAGCGCUUUUCGGGGAGAUGAGAAAGGACAGUAUCCCCGGAAUAAGGCUCGGCUAACUACGUGCCAGCAGCCGCGGUAAAACGUAGGAGUCAAGCGUUAUCCGAAUUUACUGGGCGUAAAGCGCGUGCAGGCGGUUCGGUAAGUUGGAUGUGAAAGCUCCCGGCUCAACUGGGAGAGGACGUUCAAUACUGCCGAACUAGAGGACGGCAGAGGGAGGUGGAAUUCCCGGUGUAGUGGUGAAAUGCGUAGAUAUCGGGAGGAACACCAGUGGCGAAGGCGGCCUCCUGGGCCGAUCCUGACGCUAAGACGCGAAAGCUAGGGUAGCAAACGGGAUUAGAAACCCCGGUAGUCCUAGCUGUAAACGAUGUAGACUUGGUGUUGGUGGUGUAAGAGCCAUCAGUGCCGAAGCCAACGCGAUAAGUCUACCGCCUGGGGACUACGGCCGCAAGGCUAAAACUCAAAGGAAUUGACGGGGGCCCGCACAAGCAGCGGAGCGUGUGGUUUAAUUCGACUACGCGAAGAACCUUACCCGGGCUUGACAUACAGGUGGUAGGGAAGCGAAAGUGGACCGACCCUUCGGGGAGCCUGAACAGGUGCUGCAUGGCUGUCGUCAGCUCGUGCCGUGAGGUGUCCGGUUAAGUCCGGUAACGAGCGCAACCCUUGCCGUAUGUUAUAUGUGUCAUACGGGACUGCCGGUAUAAAGCCGGAGGAAGGUGGGGAUGACGUCAAGUCAGCAUGGCCUUUAUGUCCGGGGCUACACACACGCUACAAUGGUCAGUACAAUAGGUAGCAAGACUGCGAGGUGGAGCCAAUCCUAAAAGCUGGCCUCAGUUCAGAUUGCAGGCUGCAACUCGCCUGCAUGAAGCUGGAGUUGCUAGUAACCGCGCGUCAGCAACAGUGCGGUGAAUACGUUCCCGGGCCUUGUACACACCGCCCGUCACGUCAUGGAAGCUGGCAACACCUGAAGCCGGUAUCCUAACCGAAAGGAGGGAGCCGUCGAAGGUGGGGUUGGUGACUGGGACGAAGUCGUAACAAGGUA